Molecule: unclassified non-coding RNA, 300 nt
Organism: Callithrix jacchus (white-tufted-ear marmoset)
Lineage: Eukaryota; Metazoa; Chordata; Mammalia; Primates; Cebidae
Rfam family: Metazoan signal recognition particle RNA
About the family: The signal recognition particle (SRP) is a universally conserved ribonucleoprotein. It is involved in the co-translational targeting of proteins to membranes. The eukaryotic SRP consists of a 300-nucleotide 7S RNA and six proteins: SRPs 72, 68, 54, 19, 14, and 9.
Source: Ensembl
GCCUGGCGCGGUGGCGCAUGUGUGUAGUCCCAUCUACUCAGGCGGCUGAGGCUGGUGGAUCACUUGUGUCCAGGAGUUUUGGGCUGUAGUGCGCUAUGCCAAUCAGGUGUCUGCACUAAGUUCGGCAUCAGUAUGGUGACCUCCUGGAAGUGGGGGACCACCAGGUUGCCUAAGGAGGGGUGUAACGGCCCAGGUCGGAAAUGGAGCAGGUGAAAACUCCUAUGCUGAUCAGUAGUGGGAUUGCGCCUGUGAAUAGCCACUGCACUCUAGCCUGGGCAACAUAGAGAGACCCUGUGUCUU